CCUCAGAGAAGUAAUUCUUAUCUGAAGUAGAAUGAAAGGGGAAAGGCCAUUUGAAAUUUAGACUAAUGAGAAACCUUAAAUGUCUUGUGUAAAUAUUAGUAGGAAAAACUUUAGUCAUCUGAGCAGGUGUGAUCAAGCUGGCAAUAUCUGGAAAAAAGCUUCCUACAAAUGUGUUUCACCUUCAGAGAAAUUCAUGGAAAGGAAUCUGAUGAGUCCUCUAGAAUACAUAUUUCUGAUAACUUUCAGAUCAUACAACUAAACUGGUCAAAACAAAGACUGCCCUUGAAUCUCCUUGGAAGCGAGUAUGCCAAGACCUCCUUACUACCCAGUUGGCCGCCAAAUUUCAGGGACUAAAAUGUUGGAUAUAUAUUCACAACUGAAGAAGGCUCCACCUGAUAUCUGGUCCUGUACAGAUACUGGAAACCUCUGAAUCAAAUUGAUGAAGAGACAUAGCUGAAAUAGAGGUAGAUUGCUUCCUCCCAAUGCACCAAGUAAAGACUUUAUACUCUAACUAAACAUGAAACCCUUUCUUUCCUUUACUCUCGUACUGACCUGGAAAGAUAACCCCAUCACCUGUACCUCCCAGGCUACUGCUUUGCCUUUCAUACUGCUGGAUUUAUCAUCAAAAACUCCUAUCUGUCCAUUAACCAUGCCACAUUAGUGAAAGUAGUUUGUGCCCCAACAAAGUUUUUCUUUGUGUUGGUUAUUAUUCUUCUUGGGCCUAUGAAUGCCUAGAUGGCUGGCACAUAACUGGACAGUGCUUCUUAUGGUAUCUAACUAUGCCCCUAACUGUAACACCUCACUGGUCAACUCCCCUGGAUUGACAUUGCUGAGUUAGAAAGGAAUUAUCUAGAGGUAUUCAUGACUUAGGAUUUGCUUCCUUUGACAGGACCACACUUCCCUUAUUAGGAAUACAUAUAAAUAAAAAUGUGAUCAGAAAUCUCUCCUGAACUAUAGAAGGUAUCACAGAAUCUAUGGCUAAGAUAAUAACUGCUCAAGAAAGGUCUUUAGACUAUCUGGUCAAAGUUAUUCUUGAUAAUAGGACAGCAGCCCUGGUUAUCUUUUAACCAAGCAAGGAGGUGUCUACACUGCAGCCAACACCACCUGCUGUACUGGAUUAACACUUCUGGGAAGCUGAAAUUCAAUCACGAUCACAAUGAGCAAGCCACUCAGCAUUAAAAGGUGACUCCUUCAGCAAGGUCUUCCUUUGACUUAUUUGAUUUUGAUUGGUUUGGGUUCUGGGGACCAUGGCUCUGCAAUGCACUCCAAACAUUGAGAAUUAUCCUGCAUAUAAUAACCAUAAUAAUCCCGUCAUGUUGUAUUCUCUCAAAAGCCUUAAAUGCAUGUUUGCAGCCACUAACCACCAAGAAAUGGUCUCCUUAAUGGUGGAAAAUCAGAAAAGGAAUAAAGAGGAAUGACCAACUUAAAAAUUGUGAACCUGAAGUUGUAACCUGUGAAUAUCAGAGAUUAAGCAAAAAUGUCAUGACCUGUGAAUAUCACACAAAGACUGAGCAAACUAGAGAGUGGUAACUGAAAUGUGACCUUAAAUUUUGAUCACAUCUCUCAGUUAAGCAAAGAGUGUGAUCAAAAGGGAGGAAUUGUUAAAAACUACAGGUCCCAAAUGGAGUCACUUAUGUUAAGGGCCCCAUGUCGGUAAACUAAGACUUACUAUUUAACCUAACUGCAGUUUCAUCCCCCAACUCAAGGGAAUGUAACCUUUAACCAGUCAACAUGGAAUCUCCUGGUUAGUGGUAGGAAAUUUACUGAUAGAUCCCCUCUCUUCCCCUUAGGAGAGUAACCUUGUCUAAAGUAAUGGAUUCUUUGCUAAUAAUUUGCUUUUUUCUACUCCCUCUCUACUUUUAAAAACCUUUCAUUUUCUGCUGCUUGAUGGAG
This is a long non-coding RNA of Manis javanica (Malayan pangolin), 1893 nucleotides long. RefSeq lists it as uncharacterized. NCBI's taxonomy places the organism in Eukaryota, Metazoa, Chordata, Mammalia, Pholidota, Manidae. The record is from RefSeq and is a predicted model, not a curated record.